This 468-nucleotide ribosomal RNA is filed under the name uncultured bacterium. RNAcentral describes it as "partial 16S ribosomal RNA". It matches the Rfam family "Bacterial small subunit ribosomal RNA", at positions 28 to 507 of the family's 1533-position model. The record is from RNAcentral.
GACGAACGCUGGCGGCGUGCUUAACACAUGCAAGUCGAACGGAAAGGCCCUGCCUUUGUGGGGUGCCCGAGUGGCGAACGGGUGAGUAACACGUGAGUAACCUGCCCUUGACUUUGGGAUAACUUCAGGAAACUGGGGCUAAUACCGGAUAGGAGCUCCUGCUGCAUGGUGGGGGUUGGAAAGUUUCGGCGGUUGGGGAUGGACUCGCGGCUUAUCAGCUUGUUGGUGGGGUAGUGGCUUACCAAGGCUUUGACGGGUAGCCGGCCUGAGAGGGUGACCGGCCACAUUGGGACUGAGAUACGGCCCAGACUCCUACGGGAGGCAGCAGUGGGGAAUAUUGCACAAUGGGCGGAAGCCUGAUGCAGCAACGCCGCGUGCGGGAUGACGGCCUUCGGGUUGUAAACCGCUUUCGCCUGUGACGAAGCGUGAGUGACGGUAAUGGGUAAAGAAGCACCGGCUAACUACGUG